CCGGGGUGAGUAUUACAUCAGGUACUGGUGUGCUUUUAAACAACACUGGGACAUCGGCCUCUUUCCACUUCAGUGGAGGACUCUGUCUUCGGUCAAUCUAUCAGUACUUGUGUCAUACUCUCCCCGU
Molecule: microRNA precursor, 127 nt
Filed under: Anopheles christyi
Lineage: Eukaryota; Metazoa; Arthropoda; Insecta; Diptera; Culicidae
Description: microRNA mir-12
Rfam family: mir-12 microRNA precursor family
Source: RNAcentral